Molecule: ribosomal RNA, 373 nt
Filed under: uncultured organism
Description: partial 16S ribosomal RNA
Rfam family: Bacterial small subunit ribosomal RNA
Source: RNAcentral
GGAGGGUGCAAACGUUGCUCGGAAUCAUUGGGCGUAAAGCGCAUGUAGGCGGGUCCGAUAAGUCGGAUGUGAAAGCCCUCGGGCUUAACCGAGGAAGUGCAUUCGAAACUGCCGGACUUGAGUACGGGAGAGGAUCGCGGAAUUCCCGGUGUAGAGGUGAAAUUCGUAGAUAUCGGGAGGAACACCAGCGGCGAAGGCGGCGAUCUGGACCGAUACUGACGCUGAGAUGCGAAAGCGUGGGGAGCAAACAGGAUUAGAUACCCUGGUAGUCCACGCCGUAAACGAUGAGUGCUAGGUGUCGCGGGUAUUGACCCCUGCGGCGCCGUAGCUAACGCGUUAAGCACUCCGCCUGGGGAGUACGGCCGCAAGGCUA